GACCUGGAAACUACAUAUGCCACAUCGAUGGGGCUGAAGAGUCAGCUUCAUUAACUGCUCCACUGAGAGAUGAAACUUUCUGCGGUUCAUUAGGACAAUAAGAAAGGCUGCCUAGAGACGUCACAAAGCUGAGGCCAGGCCACAUCUUGUGCUGCAAACCAAAUUGGCAAUCUAUGAGGGUCAUCUGGUUCUAGUUUUGAAGGGAAUCAAGGAGAGCACGCGAGGCUUGGCACCUGGUCGCAGGGUCAGGGUCUUCGCAGAACGGCUUGAGAGGCUGAAGGGGAAGCCUCAGGUGGUAUGGAGGCUCCAGGAUAUUGGAGAUGCCGGGACUGUAGGAUGACCAUCGAUGGGAGCUGCAGAUUCGCAAAUGUCUGAAGGAAGCAGAAAAUCGUGUGCAGUGAAUGGCAGGGCUGUGGACCGCCCAAGGAUUUUGUGU
Molecule: long non-coding RNA, 436 nt
Filed under: Rattus norvegicus (Norway rat)
Lineage: Eukaryota; Metazoa; Chordata; Mammalia; Rodentia; Muridae
Description: long non-coding RNA NONRATT002183
Source: RNAcentral